CCUACGGGCGGCAGCAGUGAGGAAUAUUGGUCAAUGGACGAGAGUCUGAACCAGCCAAGUAGCGUGAAGGAUGAAUGCCCUGUGGAUUGUAAACUUCUUUUAUAUGGGAAUAAAGCAGGGUAUGCAUCCCCUCUUGUGUGUACCAUAAGAAUAAGCAUCGGCUAACUCCGUGCCAGCAGCCGCGGUAAUACGGAGGAUCCGAGCGUUAUCCGGAUUUAUUGGGUUUAAAGGGAGCGUAGGUGGAUUGUUAAGUCAGUUGUGAAAGUUCGCGGCUCAACCGUAAAAUCGCAGUUGAAACUGGCAGUCUUGAGUACAGUAGAGGUAGGCGGAAUGCGUGGUGUAGCGGUGAAAUGCUUAGAUAUCACGAAGAACUCCGAUUGCGAAGGCAGCUUACUGGACUCAAACUGACACUGAUGCUCGAAAGUGUGGGUAUCAAACAGGAUUAGAUACCCCUGUAGUC
Molecule: ribosomal RNA, 460 nt
Filed under: uncultured bacterium
Lineage: Bacteria
Description: partial 16S ribosomal RNA
Rfam family: Bacterial small subunit ribosomal RNA
Source: RNAcentral